UUGACGGGGGCUCAUUCUCUGAGGUGGGAGAGAGGAGCAGACGGGGAAGGCAGUGAGUUCAGCCCUGUACCCGACAUGUGGGGCAGAGCUCCUGCUUUCUGGGGGUUCUGUGGCCUUCUCUGAGUGACGCCCACACAUGCACAUACACACCUACUUCCCCCAGUGCACCUGGGCUAUUCCCCAGCUUGGCAGCUGAUGGGAAGAAUCAGAAAGGGUCUGGAGGGCAGUGGCUGCAUCCUGCUUCAGCCCGAGCUCUACCUUGACCAGUAUCCACAACUGUCCACUGUCCACUGAGUGACCAAGUGAAUGAAUGUGUGCAGCCCAGUGCGACCCGGAGCUCAAAACCCCACUGCUUUGUGCUCCAGGCUGAGCGGUGGAGAUCUGGCUCCUGCCCACUAGC
This 400-nucleotide long non-coding RNA is filed under the name Homo sapiens (human). RNAcentral's name for it is "HSALNT0005624". Lineage: Eukaryota; Metazoa; Chordata; Mammalia; Primates; Hominidae. The record is from RNAcentral.